RNAcentral lists this ribosomal RNA (424 nucleotides) under uncultured bacterium. Its description in RNAcentral is "bacterial SSU rRNA". It matches the Rfam family "Bacterial small subunit ribosomal RNA", at positions 355 to 796 of the family's 1533-position model. The record is from RNAcentral.
UGGGGAAUAUUGGACAAUGGGCGAAAGCCUGAUCCAGCAAUGCCGCGUGAGUGAUGAAGGCCUUAGGGUUGUAAAGCUCUUUCGGGUGGGACGAUGAUGACGGUACCACCAGAAGAAGCCCCGGCUAACUUCGUGCCAGCAGCCGCGGUAAUACGAAGGGGGCUAGCGUUGUUCGGAAUUACUGGGCGUAAAGCGCACGCAGGCGGUCUGUUAAAUUAGAAGUGAAAGCCUUGGGCUUAACCUGAGAAUUGCUUUUAAGACUGGCAGACUAGAAUCCAGAAGAGGGUAGUGGAAUUCCGAGUGUAGAGGUGAAAUUCGUAGAUAUUCGGAAGAACACCAGUGGCGAAGGCGACUACCUGGUCUGGCAUUGACGCUCAUGUGCGAAAGCGUGGGGAGCAAACAGGAUUAGAUACCCCCGUAGUCC